This 356-nucleotide ribosomal RNA is filed under the name Escherichia coli. Its description in RNAcentral is "SSU rRNA". It matches the Rfam family "Eukaryotic small subunit ribosomal RNA", at positions 1429 to 1814 of the family's 1831-position model. Lineage: Bacteria; Pseudomonadati; Pseudomonadota; Gammaproteobacteria; Enterobacterales; Enterobacteriaceae. The record is from RNAcentral.
GCUACUCCACGGAAGUUUGAGGCAAUAACAGGUCUGUGAUGCCCUUAGAUGUCCUGGGCCGCACGCGCGCUACACUGAUGCAGGCAGCAAGCACCGUGGCAGAUAUGUCUCGGAAAACUACAAACUGCAUCGUGCUGGGGAUUGACUCUUGGAAUUCUUGGUCAUAAACGAGGAAUACCUAGUAAACGCAAGUCAUCAGCUUGCAUUGAUUACGUCCCUGCCCUUUGUACACACCGCCCGUCGCUCCUACCGAUUUGAGUGGUGCGGUGAACCCUUCGGACCGGUACGCCGGAAAGUUGAGUAAACCUUACCACUUAGAGGAAGGAGAAGUCGUAACAAGGUAUCUGUAGGUGAAC